This 253-nucleotide ribosomal RNA is filed under the name uncultured bacterium. Its description in RNAcentral is "partial 16S ribosomal RNA". It matches the Rfam family "Bacterial small subunit ribosomal RNA", at positions 524 to 776 of the family's 1533-position model. The record is from RNAcentral.
UACGGGGGGGGCAAGCGUUGUUCGGAAUUACUGGGCGUAAAGGGUGCGUAGGCGGGUCUUUAAGUCAGGGGUGAAGUCCUGGAGCUCAACUCCAGAACUGCCUUUGAUACUGAAGAUCUUGAGUUCGGGAGAGGUGAGUGGAACUGCGAGUGUAGAGGUGAAAUUCGUAGAUAUUCGCAAGAACACCAGUGGCGAAGGCGGCUCACUGGCCCGAUACUGACGCUGAGGCACGAAAGCGUGGGGAGCAAACAGG